Molecule: ribosomal RNA, 253 nt
Filed under: uncultured bacterium
Lineage: Bacteria
Description: partial 16S ribosomal RNA
Rfam family: Bacterial small subunit ribosomal RNA
Source: RNAcentral
CACGUAGGGCGCAAGCGUUGUCCGGAAUUAUUGGGCGUAAAGAGCUCGUAGGCGGUCUGUUGCGUCCGCUGUGAAAACUCGGGGCUUAACCCCGAGCCUGCAGUGGAUACGGGCAGACUAGAGGUAGGUAGGGGAGAAUGGAAUUCCCGGUGUAGCGGUGAAAUGCGCAGAUAUCGGGAGGAACACCUAUUGCGAAGGCAGCUCGCUGGGACGUAACUGACGCUGAGACGCGAAAGCGUGGGGAGCAAACAGG